GUCCCAGUCAUCUCAACAUAGCUGAGCUAGAUUCAUCCCACGUGGAACUUACCUGAAUGCAGGAAAUUCUGUCAUUUCUGUGUUGUACACUAUUUUUGUGCUUGUUCAGGACUUGCCAACAAAAAUAAUCACCACAUAGACAGCUCCUAACCAGCAGAACUUAGAAUUUAAAGGACCAAUGCAAAACAGAGGAAACCCCAAUCACUUUUCUGUUAAGUAUCACUAGAACCAUAUGGAACUCUGACAUUUACCAGUACAAAAGAUAAACUCCCCCCCCUUUUUUUUAAUUAUUACUACUUUUUAUUUAAUUGUCUCCAUUUUGGACUGAUGGUUUUCUUUCAGAACUUCCCUGUAAGGGGCAUCUUGUCCCAAAGAGCUCUCUGGGAAUACUGGACCAUCCUUUUUGAUGUGGUGUGAAAUCCAGGCUUGUGUCAACCACUGCUGGUGUUUGAACAGACAGAGAGAAGAGCUCAGAUCUCCAGAUCCAAAAAUAAAACCAGACAUACCCCACCCUCUCCAAGGUGUUUGGAUAGUCCAAAUCUUCAUGCAACAGCCCUGCACUGCCUGAAGGUCCAUCUGCAUUCCAUAAGACAGCAUUUUCCCAGAGUUUUGAUAUGUCCACUGUGCAAUAUGGAAGCUCAAAGUAAACAGGGUGUAUCCUAUGGUCUGCAUUGGUGUUCAAAAGUCCACUGUGCUAAUUGUUGUCUAAAACCAGCUCAAAGGACUGUCUGGUGUCAAAGAGAACCAGAGGCAGCACCCUGCUCGAGGAAACCUACCUGUUUUUUUGUGUGCCAUGUUUUUAAAGAGAGCUUCGUACAACCUUGUGACAGUUUCAACUGUGACUUUGAAUAAAAUCCGCUAUUCCCAUGGAAGGAGUAUUUUAUUUAGACAUCUUGCUGUCAUGGGAAAAGGCACCAGGAUCUCAGGAGCUUCAGGCCCUACCCCUGCCACUGUUCAGGAUGCUGUAUUUCCUCCUGAGACCUCUCAGGCUGACCCCAGUGGCUCUGACUACUGCAGGGAGACCUGGCCACUUUGGGGAAGGAUGGCUGAUGUGCAAACCUCUGGAAAACAAAGGUCUGACCUGCAAAAUGCUGAGCUGAAGUCCUAAAUCAUCUUAUUGGUGUAGCAACAUGCAAAUCCUCUGUAACUGAGCAUUUAGAAACAUUUGCAUCAACCACCUACCACUUGAUUGCUCUAGCUGUGCACAAUAUACGCAC
Chloebia gouldiae (Gouldian finch) is the source of this 1217-nucleotide long non-coding RNA. The record is from Ensembl. Lineage: Eukaryota; Metazoa; Chordata; Aves; Passeriformes; Passeridae.